GAUGAACGCUGGCGGCGUGCUUAACACAUGCAAGUCGAACGAUGAAGCCGAGCUGGUUGGGUGUAUUAGUGGCGAACGGGUGAGUAACACGUGAGUAACAUGCCCUUGACUAUGGGAUAAGCCAGGGAAACUGGGCCUAACACUGGAUAUGACUUCUCAGCGUAUGGUGGGGGGUGGAGAGACUUAUUGGUCUUGGAUGGACUCGCGGCCUAUCAGCUUGUUGGUGAGGUACUGGAUCACCAAGGCGACGACGGGUAGCCGGCCUGGAAGGGUGACCGGCCACACUGGGACUGAGACACGGCCCAGACUCCUACGGGAGGCAGCAGUGGGGAAUAUUGCACAAUGGGCGCAAGCCUGAUGCAGCGACGCCGCGUGAGGGAUGACGGCCUUCGGGUUGUAAACCUCUUUCCGUAGGGAAGAAGCGAGAGUGACGGUACCUGAAGAAGAAGCGCCGGCUAACUACGUG
Molecule: ribosomal RNA, 466 nt
Filed under: uncultured bacterium
Lineage: Bacteria
Description: partial 16S ribosomal RNA
Rfam family: Bacterial small subunit ribosomal RNA
Source: RNAcentral